RNAcentral lists this non-coding RNA (27 nucleotides) under Homo sapiens (human). Lineage: Eukaryota; Metazoa; Chordata; Mammalia; Primates; Hominidae. The record is from RNAcentral.
UCUGGUCUCCUGGAGAUGCGUGGUCGC